AUUGAACGCUGGCGGCAUGCCUUACACAUGCAAGUCGAACGGCAGCAUGGAGAGCUUGCUCUCUGAUGGCGAGUGGCGAACGGGUGAGUAAUGCACCGGAACGUACCGUGUAAUGGGGGAUAACGUAGCGAAAGUUACGCUAAUACCGCAUACGACCUGAGGGUGAAAGCAGGGGAUCGCAAGACCUUGCGUUAUACGAGCGGCCGAUGUCAGAUUAGCUAGUUGGUGAGGUAAAGGCUCACCAAGGCGACGAUCUGUAGCGGGUCUGAGAGGAUGAGCCGCCACACUGGGACUGAGACACGGCCCAGACUCCUACGGGAGGCAGCAGUGGGGAAUUUUGGACAAUGGGGGCAACCCUGAUCCAGCCAUGCCGCGUGAGUGAAGGAGGCCUUCGGGUUGUAAAGCUCUUUCGGCCGGGAAGAAAUCGCACAGGCUAAUACUCUGUGUGGAUGACGGUACCGGCAUAAGAAGCACCGGCUAACUACGUGCCAGCCGCCGCAGUAA
This 504-nucleotide ribosomal RNA is filed under the name uncultured bacterium. RNAcentral's name for it is "partial 16S ribosomal RNA". It matches the Rfam family "Bacterial small subunit ribosomal RNA", at positions 30 to 523 of the family's 1533-position model. The record is from RNAcentral.